Molecule: long non-coding RNA, 499 nt
Filed under: Triticum aestivum (bread wheat)
Lineage: Eukaryota; Viridiplantae; Streptophyta; Magnoliopsida; Poales; Poaceae
Description: long non-coding RNA (TAES_LNC015725)
Source: RNAcentral
GACCUGAAAUCAUUGGUAAAUUGGCAUUGGCAAUCUGCAGUGAACCACAAUUGGAUGUGCUUGGCGUCAGUUAGUAGCAAAUGUUCAGAACUACCCACACAUGCACAGUCAAGAGAUUAACACUAAGCGGUUACAGAAAGUAGUAGAGAUGAAGCAAGCAACAAUAUUUACUUCCGGGAUAUUAUCAGUGGAUCCAUAAGACGGAAGAUAAAGGUACUCCAAUCAUAUUUGAUCAAGGAACGAAGAAGCAUGGGGCGUAAUUAAGCACCUCAGUAGAUGAUCAGGCUUUGAACCCUCUGCUGCCCACAAGUAUCAGUAUCAAAAUGACCUUGCCCAGGUAGUGUACCAACCACAUAUUAGCAUGAGCUCGUCCAAAUACAAGACAAGGUAUACCAACCACAUAUUAUUCCUGGACAUCUCACCUAACUUUGUAUCUAAUGAAUGGAGACACGAGAAGCACAUGACCUGAAACAAGGUGGGGACUGAAGAACAACGAGAC